GAUUAACGCUGGCGGCAUGCCUUAUGCAUGCAAGUAGAACGAGAUUUGUAGCAAUACAAGUCUAGUUGCGAACGGCUGAGUAAUGGAUAGGAAUCUCCCCAAUGGUGUGGAAUACCCCAUCGAAAGAUGGGCUAAUACCGCAUGACCCCGCAAGGGAAAAGCGCUUCACCGCGCGCCGAUGGAUGAGCCUAUCUCCCAUCAGGUAGUUGGUGGGGUAAUGGCCUACCAAGGCGACGAUCCGUAACUGGUCUGAGAGGAUGAUCAGUCACACCGGAACUGAGACACGGUCCGGACUCCUACGGGAGGCAGCAGUGGGGAAUAUUGGACAAUGGGCGAAAGCCUGAUCCAGCCAUGCCGCGUGAGUGAUGAAGGCCUUCGGGUUGUAAAGCUCUUUCGCACGCGACGAUGAUGACGGUAGCGUGAGAAGAAGCCCCGGCUAACUUCGUGCCAGCCGCCGCAGUAA
This 463-nucleotide ribosomal RNA is filed under the name uncultured bacterium. RNAcentral's name for it is "partial 16S ribosomal RNA". It matches the Rfam family "Bacterial small subunit ribosomal RNA", at positions 28 to 523 of the family's 1533-position model. The record is from RNAcentral.